RNAcentral lists this ribosomal RNA (214 nucleotides) under uncultured archaeon. RNAcentral describes it as "partial 16S ribosomal RNA". It matches the Rfam family "Archaeal small subunit ribosomal RNA", at positions 345 to 559 of the family's 1478-position model. The record is from RNAcentral.
AAACUUUACACUGCGGGAAACCGCGAUAAGGGGACCCCGAGUGCCAGCACCUAGUGCUGGCUGUCCUACUGUCUAAAUAACAGUGGUUAGCAAGGGCCGGGCAAGACCGGUGCCAGCCGCCGCGGUAAUACCCGCAGCCCAAGUGGUGAUCGUUAUUAUUGGGCUUAAAACGUCCGUAGCUGGUCUAGUAAAUUCCUGGGUAAAUCGAAUUGCU